UAUUACUAAGGAAAGUCCUCAGGUCGGAAGGUCUUCAGGUCGGUAGGUCCUCAAGACGGAAAGUCAUUAGGACGGAAGGACCUCAGGUCGGUAGGUCCUCAAGACGGAAGGACCUCAGGUCGGAAGGUCUUCAGGUCGGGAGGUCCUCAAGACGGAAAGUCAUCAGGACGGAAGGACCUCAGGUCGGUAGGUCCUCAAGACGGAAAGACCUCAAGUCGGAAGGUUUUCAGGUCGGGAAGUCCUCAAGGCGGAAAGACCUCAAGUCGGAAGGUUUUCAGGUCGGGAAGUCCUCAAGGCGGAAAGACCUCAAGUCGGAAG
This is a long non-coding RNA of Andrographis paniculata, 318 nucleotides long. RefSeq lists it as uncharacterized. The record is from RefSeq and is a predicted model, not a curated record. Lineage: Eukaryota; Viridiplantae; Streptophyta; Magnoliopsida; Lamiales; Acanthaceae. The transcript is spliced from 3 exons.